UACAGGGGGGGCAAGCGUUGUUCGGAAUUACUGGGCGUAAAGGGCUCGUAGGCGGCCAACUAAGUCACACGUGAAAUCCCCAGGCUUAACCUGGGAACUGCGUGUGAUACUGGAUGGCUUGAGUUUGGGAGAGGGACGCGGAAUUCCAGGUGUAGCGGUGAAAUGCGUAGAUAUCAGGAGGAACACCAGUGGCGAAGGCGGCUUCCUGGACACCAACUGACGCUGAGACGCGAAAGCGUGGGGAGCAAACAGG
RNAcentral lists this ribosomal RNA (253 nucleotides) under uncultured bacterium. RNAcentral describes it as "partial 16S ribosomal RNA". It matches the Rfam family "Bacterial small subunit ribosomal RNA", at positions 524 to 776 of the family's 1533-position model. The record is from RNAcentral.